AUUCAGUUUCAAUAAAUCUUCCUAACUUGUUAGAAUUUUUACAAAAGGGACUAGAAAAACGAUUGAGUCUCAGCUCCCUGAAGGUUCAAUUAUCUGCCUUCUCAGACAUAUCUAAUGUCCAAUGGGCUCUAGAUCCUACAAUCAAGUUAUUUCUAAAGGGGGCCAUGAGAAUCAGACCAAAAAUGUCAUUCCAGCAUGGGAUCUACCAACAGUGCUACACAGUUUAACUGGUGCACCAUUUGAACCUAUGGAUUCAUCAUCCCUAUGAGACUUGAUGUUGAAAAAUUUAUUUCUUAUUGUUAUCACAUCUACUAGAAGGACUUCUGAACUCCAAGCCCUUUUGAUUUGGAUUACUUCUGCAAUUCAUAAAGCAUACAAGGUGGCUGGAAAGAAGGUACCAGAGGGAAUCAAGGCUCACUCUACCAAGGCUGUCUCGGCAUCUUUGGCAGAUAAUUCAACGGAGGAAUUUUGCAGGGCGUCUGUCUGGUCGUCCUCCAACACUUUCAUAAGGCGUUACCGUUUAGAUGUUACAGGCUCCUCUGUCUCUUACAGGAGGAAAGUCCUUAAUUCUGCCAUUUAAUGUUUAAAUUUGAUUUGCAUUGAAAAUGUUGUUUAUAAACUUGGGAAAUCCCAUAGGUGGUGAUGCUGGCAUGGAUUAGCCAGGAAAACAGAAAAGUGCUGCCAUACUUGCCGUAAUCUUCUUUUCCUGGCUAUUAUCCAUGUCAGUAUCAACAAUUCCUCCCAAUGUCUCAACUGACUUAAUUACGAGACUGCUGAAUAUGCGGAGCGGACUUCCUUCUAUAACCUUAUUUUAAUUUAGAUUCCUGUCCUAUCAGCUGAGAGGAAGGAUGCUGACAUCCUCGUGGUGAGGCUGACCUAGAUAAUAGCCAGGAAAAGAGUUACAGUGAGUAUGGCAACAAUUUUCUGUUAUGGCGACUAUAGUGUCCCUUUAAAUCACCAUGAGCUCCGUUCAAAGAAGAAGGGGGAGAGUGAAAGAAGUAUAUGAAAAGUAGUUAAAUGGAAUUGGAGUAGCUGUCGCGUUUCGUUUGUCUCCAUGUGGCAAAAACAGAUAGAAUUACCUUCCGAUCGAGGGGAGUGACGCUCAGCGGUCUUCUGCCAUGAUGCCUGGCAUUUGCGGCAUGUCUGUGCAUGCCGGCUGCUGCUGCAGACCCACGCAAUUAUAUAGCCCCAAGUCCAUCCACAGGAAAGACGUCGACAUUCCAAGAACGACGUCCCUUAGCUCAUUGCCCUGUCGUAGUUUCCCUUAGAUGGUUAUCCGAAAAUGUGUUCCUGAUCGCGUUUUUCUAGUUUUUGACUUUGGCUUCGUUUUGUCUUUCCUGAUUUCUGGUACCCUUGACUUGGCUUUUCCAUAGCUCUGUGUCUCGUUCUGUGUCCCUGACCUCGGCUAGUUUUCUGACUAUUCUCGGAUAUGUUAAGUAUCACACCCUAGAAGUAAAGGCCCAGUAAGACGUUGCUCUUACUUCUAGGGUGUGAUACUAUUCUUCAUGCUGGUUCAAUAUAAUCAUGACAUUACGAUAGGGCCAUAGAUCCUGCAGAUAUGUGUCAGCACAUAGUAGCUUGUGAGAGAAAGCUAGAGAAGAAUGUUUACCGUAUGAAUCAAUUUGUCCAAGCUUUCAAUACGCUACUAAUAUGCAGUGCAGUCUUUAACGCGGGGCAAACGGGGCAGCUUCCCCGGGCCCAGUUACUCUUGGGGGGCCCAAAGCAGCUGCCCCGGGGGCCCCGCUGCCCUCAACAAUUUUUUUCCCCAUGGGACCCCUGGCCUGCACAUUAAGCAGGGGCCUGGUCACAUGCUGUAGCCCUCUAACAGCACAACCGCUGCGAGUCACUUCCUCCCAGUAAGGAGAGGAGCCACGCAAGAGACUAAGGAGCCUGUGCCGGGAGAGGCAGAUCCCAACAGCCUCAGCCUUCAGUCUGGACACUGGGGAACCACCUUCCAAGGUAGGAAACUAGAGGGUGGGUUUAAAAGUGUAAAUUUAUGUCUGUCUGUUUGUGUCAGUGUAUGUUUUUCAGUCUGUCUGUGUUUGUGUCAGUAUGUUUCUGUGUAUGUGUGUUAGUUUGUCUGGCAGGGGGCAGGGUCCAGGGUCCCCAAGCAAAUGGUUGCCCAGAUGGCCCUGCUAAUAUGUACAGCUCAUUUGCAGCCUGAUGUCCCUUCAGCAGUUACACGCUCACCUACUGUACCUGUACCUACACCUAUUGUAUAUCUAUAACCCUAUCUUCACCCCCGCAUUUUGAAGGUAAUAUUCAUGAAUGUCAGGGAUUCCUUAAUCAGAUUGAGUACCAUUUUGAAGCCUCACCUGGGUCCUUCCCCAUGGAUAGAGCUAAAAUUGGGUACUUAAUGAACCAACUACAUGGUAAAAAGCCUUAGCAUGGGCCAAUCCAUCAUGGGAAGACUAAGACUGUUGCCCAUAAUUACCAAGAAUUAACUUUGAACCAUUGGGAAGGGAGAGCAAUGCGGGAUAAAACUUACCAGGAAAGGUUAAAGGAUCUUAACAUGUAUAGCUUGGAGGAAAGACGAGACGGGGGAUAUGAUAGAAUCAUUUAAAUAUAUAAAGGGAAUCAACACAGUAAAGGAGGAGACUAUAUUUAAAAGAAGAAAAACUACCACAACAAGAGGACAUAGUCUUAAAUUAGAGGGACAAAGGUUUAAAAAUAAUAUCAGG
This 2681-nucleotide long non-coding RNA is filed under the name Pelobates cultripes (western spadefoot toad). The record is from RNAcentral. Lineage: Eukaryota; Metazoa; Chordata; Amphibia; Anura; Pelobatidae.